RNAcentral lists this ribosomal RNA (792 nucleotides) under Triticum aestivum (bread wheat). Its description in RNAcentral is "partial small subunit ribosomal RNA". Lineage: Eukaryota; Viridiplantae; Streptophyta; Magnoliopsida; Poales; Poaceae. The record is from RNAcentral.
GAAAAGUAUGCAACUGACCUGGUCAGGAAAGCUGGAUUGCAGGGAUGUAAACCCUCACUUACUCCAUUAUCUAGCUCAGAAAAAUUAUCUCUUGCAGAAGGUGAGCUUUUGAGUAAAGAGGACAACACUAAGUACAGGAGUCUGGUAGGAGCUCUUCAGUAUCUCACACUUACCAGGCCUGAUCUUUCUUUUGCUGUCAACAAGGUCUGCCAGUUCCUUCAUGCACCUACCAAUGUUCAUUUGACAGCUGCAAAACGUAUAGUUCGAUAUGUUAAGCAUACCUUGAGUUUGGGACUGAACUUCAGCAAAUCUCCAUUCACUCUUGUUAGUGCUUUUUCUGACUCUGACUGGGCAGGUUGUCUGGAUGACAGACGUUCCACUGGUGGUUUUGCAGUGUUUUAUGGACCAAAUUUGAUAUCAUGGUGUGCACGUAAGCAAGCUACUGUAUCCAGGUCAAGCACAGAGGCUGAGUACAAAGCAUUGGCAAAUGCCACAGCAGAGAUAAUAUGGGUUCAGUCCAUGCUGAAGGAACUUGGCAUACAAAGCAAGCAGGCUCCUUGUCUAUGGUGUGACAAUCUUGGUGCCACGUAUCUCUCUGCAAAUCCAGUGUUCCAUGCCAGGACAAAACAUAUUGAGAUAGAUUUUCAUUUUGUCAGAGAAAGGGUUGCUAAGAAGCAACUUGACAUUCGCUUUGUGCAUUCCAGAGAUCAACUUGCAGAUGGAUUUACAAAGCCUUUGCCUACAAGAAGUUUUGAAGACUUUAAGCAUAAUCUCAACUUGAUGAAGUUGUGA